Molecule: long non-coding RNA, 463 nt
Filed under: Vulpes vulpes (red fox)
Lineage: Eukaryota; Metazoa; Chordata; Mammalia; Carnivora; Canidae
Description: lncRNA (ENSVVUG00000030307.1)
Source: RNAcentral
AAGUUAUGGUGUCCGCUUAGGUGAAAGUGGCACCUAAAACUGCCAUCCUGAGUAAAGCUUGGCUUCUAACACCAUACAGAUGUCUCUUCAUUGGUUUUGCUGCUCCUCCUCACGGUGGAUGCUUUGUCAACCAGAGAAGCAAUGGGUCCACUAACGUCAGAUUAAGCCAGGCACAUACAGCACACAAGGAGAUUUCACCAGCGGACACUGGCUCAGAUACCAGACUAGAGAUCUGAGAAGAUACCGAAGGCCGGAGGUAGAAUUAAAGGAAGGAAUGAAUGUCUGGAAUCCAUCACGACUAUAGUCUUACACUGGCUCCUAUCCAUCAAGAAUAGGACAAGAACAGUGCUAUGGAUCACGUUGAAAGUUCUGCUGCAGGAGUUUGGGGACCGAGGUGGGGGGCACUCCUGUUCUAAGAUUGCUCAGGUUAUAACCCUUAUUAAAUAAAAAAAAAACAGCAACG